Molecule: ribosomal RNA, 161 nt
Filed under: Hordeum brachyantherum subsp. brachyantherum
Lineage: Eukaryota; Viridiplantae; Streptophyta; Magnoliopsida; Poales; Poaceae
Description: 5.8S ribosomal RNA
Rfam family: 5.8S ribosomal RNA
About the family: 5.8S ribosomal RNA (5.8S rRNA) is a component of the large subunit of the eukaryotic ribosome. It is transcribed by RNA polymerase I as part of the 45S precursor that also contains 18S and 28S rRNA. Functionally, it is thought that 5.8S rRNA may be involved in ribosome translocation.
Source: RNAcentral
ACGACUCUCGGCAACGGAUAUCUUGGCUCUCGCAUCGAUGAAGAACGUAGCGAAAUGCGAUACCUGGUGUGAAUUGCAGAAUCCCGCGAACCAUCGAGUCUUUGAACGUAAGUUGCGCCCGAGGCCACUCGGCCGAGGGCACGCCUGCCUGGGCGUCACGC